UCCCUGGUGGCUCAGAGGGUCAAGUAUCUGCCUGCAAUGCAGGAAACCCGGGUUCAAUCCCUGGGUUGGGAA
RNAcentral lists this transfer RNA (72 nucleotides) under Capra hircus (goat). It matches the Rfam family "tRNA". From Rfam's summary of the family: Transfer RNA (tRNA) molecules are approximately 80 nucleotides in length. Their secondary structure includes four short double-helical elements and three loops (D, anti-codon, and T loops). RNAcentral also lists the same sequence under 1 other name. The record is from Rfam by way of RNAcentral. Lineage: Eukaryota; Metazoa; Chordata; Mammalia; Artiodactyla; Bovidae.